RNAcentral lists this ribosomal RNA (494 nucleotides) under uncultured bacterium. RNAcentral describes it as "partial 16S ribosomal RNA". It matches the Rfam family "Bacterial small subunit ribosomal RNA", at positions 28 to 506 of the family's 1533-position model. The record is from RNAcentral.
GAUGAACGCUGGCGGCGUGCCUAAUACAUGCAAGUAGAACGCUGAAGGAGGAGCUUGCUCUUCUGGAUGAGUUGCGAACGGGUGAGUAACGCGUAGGUAACCUGCCUGUUAGCGGGGGAUAACUAUUGGAAACGAUAGCUAAUACCGCAUGACAACAGUUAUUGCAUGAUAACUGUUUAAAAGGGGCAACUGCUCCACUACCAGAUGGACCUGCGUUGUAUUAGCUAGUUGGUGAGGUAACGGCUCACCAAGGCGACGAUACAUAGCCGACCUGAGAGGGUGAUCGGCCACACUGGAACUGAGACACGGCCCAGACUCCUACGGGAGGCAGCAGUAGGGAAUCUUCGGCAAUGGACGGAAGUCUGACCGAGCAACGCCGCGUGAGUGAAGAAGGUUUUCGGAUCGUAAAGCUCUGUUGUAAGAGAAGAACGAGUGUGAGAGUGGAAAGUUCACACUGGAACGGUAUCUUACAAGAAAGGGACGGCUAACUACGG